UCGGGUAUGGUGUAGCGGUAACAUCGUUGACUCUCACUUCUCAGGAGUGACUGCCUCUCUCAACAGCCCCGGGUUCGACUCCCGGUAUCCGAG
RNAcentral lists this transfer RNA (93 nucleotides) under Copromyces sp. CBS 386.78. RNAcentral's name for it is "tRNA-Glu". It matches the Rfam family "tRNA". From Rfam's summary of the family: Transfer RNA (tRNA) molecules are approximately 80 nucleotides in length. The record is from RNAcentral. Lineage: Eukaryota; Fungi; Ascomycota; Sordariomycetes; Sordariales; Sordariaceae.